This 492-nucleotide ribosomal RNA is filed under the name uncultured bacterium. RNAcentral's name for it is "partial 16S ribosomal RNA". It matches the Rfam family "Bacterial small subunit ribosomal RNA", at positions 29 to 507 of the family's 1533-position model. The record is from RNAcentral.
AGUGAACGCUGGCGGUAGGCCUAACACAUGCCAGUCGAACGGCAGCACAGUAAGAGCUUGCUCUUACGGGUGGCGAGUGGCGGACGGGUGAGGAAUACAUCGGAAUCUACUUUUUCGUGGGGGAUAACGUAGGGAAACUUACGCUAAUACCGCAUACGACCUACGGGUGAAAGCAGGGGAUCUUCGGACCUUGCGCGAUUGAAUGAGCCGAUGUCGGAUUAGCUAGUUGGCGGGGUAAAGGCCCACCAAGGCGACGAUCCGUAGCUGGUCUGAGAGGAUGAUCAGCCACACGGGAACUGAGACACGGUCCAGACUCCUACGGGAGGCAGCAGUGGGGAAUAUUGGACAAUGGGCGCAAGCCUGGUCCAGCCAUACCGCGUGGGUGAAGAAGGCCUUCGGGUUGUAAAGCCCUUUUGUUGGGAAAGAAAGGCAGCAGGUUAAUACCCCGCUGUUCUGACGGUACCCAAAGAAUAAGCACCGGCUAACUUCGUG